This 827-nucleotide ribosomal RNA is filed under the name uncultured bacterium. RNAcentral's name for it is "bacterial SSU rRNA". It matches the Rfam family "Bacterial small subunit ribosomal RNA", at positions 36 to 883 of the family's 1533-position model. The record is from RNAcentral.
CUGGCGGCGUGCUUAACACAUGCAAGUCGAACGAUGAAACCUAGCUUGCUAGGUGGAUUAGUGGCGCACGGGUGAGUAAUAUAUAGGUAAUGUGCCUCUUAGUCUGGGAUAGCCAUUGGAAACGAUGAUUAAUACUGGAUACUCCUUCUAACUCUAAUGUUAGUCGGGAAAGUUUUUCGCUAAGAGAUCAGCCUAUAUCCCAUCAGUUAGUUGGUAAGGUAACGGCUUACCAAGGCAAUGACGGGUAGCGGGUUUGAGAGGAUGAUCCGCCACACUGGUACUGAGACACGGACCAGACUCCUACGGGAGGCAGCAGUGAGGAAUAUUGCACAAUGGGGGAAACCCUGAUGCAGCAACGCCGCGUGGAGGAUGACGCAUUUCGGUGUGUAAACUCCUUUUAUAUGUCAAGAAAAUGACGGUAGCAUAUGAAUAAGCACCGGCUAACUCCGUGCCAGCAGCCGCGGUAAUACGGAGGGUGCAAGCGUUACUCGGAAUCACUGGGCGUAAAGGACGCGUAGGCGGAUUGGAAAGUCAGAUGUGAAAUCCUACAGCUUAACUGUAGAACUGCAUUUGAAACUUCUAAUCUAGAGUAUGGGAGGGGGAGAUGGAAUUAGUGGUGUAGGGGUAAAAUCCGUAGAUAUCACUAGGAAUACCGAAAGCGAAGGCGAUCUCCUGGAACAUUACUGACGCUAAGGCGUGAAAGCGUGGGGAGCAAACAGGAUUAGAUACCCUGGUAGUCCACGCCCUAAACGAUGAACACUAGUCGUCGGGAUGCUUGUCAUCUCGGUGAUGCACUUAACAGAUUAAGUGUUCCGCCUGGGGAGUAC